This is a long non-coding RNA of Helianthus annuus (common sunflower), 3795 nucleotides long. RefSeq lists it as uncharacterized. The record is from RefSeq and is a predicted model, not a curated record. Lineage: Eukaryota; Viridiplantae; Streptophyta; Magnoliopsida; Asterales; Asteraceae. The transcript has 6 exons.
UUUUUACGACCCACACACAAAACCCUAAUUGUAUCUCCUUCUCCUGUACGCUUCUUCCUUCUUUCACACUACUCUUCCAUAACCCUAAAAAAACAUAGUUGCAUCUCUCUCUCUCUCUCUCUCCCUCCUAUCGCUACGCCAAGAUCCUCCAUCAGCCGACAAUCAUCUUCUUCGAAUUCAUCCUCAUCGCUACAUCUUCUUCUUCAAUCCAUGGUUACAAGGUUUUCUUCAUCGACUAAAAUCAAGGAUUCAUCGACGGUCCAAUCGGGUGUUGCUAUAGAUCGAGUGUGGAGGCUGCUGACAUGUUCCAUGGUUAUGGUGGCUGAGAGGGUUUCAAUGUUUCAAUUCUGCAUUUUUAGUCUAUCGCAAAAAUAGGUUUUUUUUAGUCUUUGUUAUUAUGAUUAUGUCGUUUCAUAGCUAUUUGGUUAUCUUAUUAGUGUUUAUUUCGUCUUUUAAUAGGAUCGAGAAAGAAUUCGAAUCUUGAAUCAAAUCUAAUUGACUAUUUUUUUUAUUUAAGUUGUUUUUUAAAUAGAUUUGAAGAAUUGGAAUAAGAUCAGUGAGUAUUAGAGUGGUUUAUGUUAAAUUUGGGUGUUGGUGUAUCUUGAUUGAUCAUGAGGUGUAAUUAUAGGAUUGGUGAUGUUUGUGUUCGGUUUCGGUAGAACAAACGAGUUUUCCAAUGGCAUAGGUAUUUUCCGGUGACUCCUUAGUCCUGACCCGUCAUUCAGCAUUAACCCCAUAACUGGGAAAAGCCAUGGGUGAUGCAGCAGUUGCGGCGACAUCAUCAAUUGGCUACAUCGGUGUUGGUACUAUAGGGUUUCUUUUGGAUGAAAGAGGUGACUUUUACUUCAUGGAAAUGAACACUAGAAUUCAGGUAGAGCAUCCUGUGACAGAAAUUAUAACAUCGGUUGACUUGAUAGAAGAGCAGAUUCGGGUAGGUAUAGGAGGUAUUAUACAUUUAAAAUUAGCCUUUUGCAACUUCCAAUAUGUUUAACCCGUUUUACCCAUUUCAUUUUUAGAUCAUUUUAUUUUAUUUUAAAUUUUUACCCAUUUGAUCUAAAUGCUACAGAAUAGUUUAAUGUAAAGUUUAGAAAGUGCCAUCACUAUGUUAUUAAUUUAUCUUUGUUACAUUUCUUCUUUGCUACAUAGUUUUGGUUUUGAAUUAUUUAAUAGAUGACCUCUUGAUUCCUUCUGUUUAUGAACAUUAGGGAGAAUAACAUCUUACUUGCCUCUGGAAGUCCAUUUGUGAGAAUGGAUAGCCACGUAUAUACCGAUUAUGUUGUUCCACCAAGCUAUGAUUCACUACUUGGAAAGGUUUGUAAUAUUCUCUAGACUUCAUUAAAAUUUAUAAAUGUAUAAAAUCAAAUGGUAGUUUGCUUCCUGGCUGAAAUAUGCAACUAUACUUGAAAAAAAAAUUAAGAAAAUACUUUCAAGUUUAAAUGUUGGUAUUCGAAUUUCGAACGAUUGCGUAGCUGACCUUUUUUUUUAAUUUUUUCCUUUAAUCUGCAUAACUUUUUUUUUUCAUUUUCCAAAGAAAACAAAGGUUUAAAUGUUUAAUUUGAAACAACGAGAAAGGAGGUUCUGUCAGUUUGAUAUUUGAUUACAUUUUGGCUGAUUCAACCAUUUCCAGUUCAAUCAAAUUUUAAGGUUCUACUCAUUUGAUCCCGUUAGAGACGAAAUAUAGUCAAAAUUCCAAAUCGACCAGUUUUCUCAUAAAUGGGUCAAAAUUACCACCUCUAGGCUUUACAAUCCUUCAGAUAACUUAUUGAGUUGACAUUUUCUAAAGUUUAAAUCAAUAGUAUUACAUGUAAUCAAACCACUCAAAUAUGAGUUAAUUUCGUCUCUAACCCGUAACUUUUUUUAAUCAUGGUUUUAGCUUCUUGUAUAGGCCCCAACAUGAGAAAAGGUGAUUGAAUGCAUGAAAAGGGCUGUUGAUGAUACCAUGACUAAUGCCUUAUUUAUAGAUGUAGCAAUUACACUAAUCCCCCCUUACACUAUUACAAUAUACUAAUAUGUAUGUAAUUUCUAUCACAUCAUCACAGGUAAAAUAAAACCUUCAUUUCAUGUAUUAUAUUUCAACCAUGAUCCAUUUUCAGGUUUUGUAAAAAGAUAUCUGUUUUUAUAUUAUUUUGUAUGCCUCUCUCAAAUUACCUUUACUUGUGCAGGUUAGAGGUAACUUUUGGGUUAUCUGUUUUUGGCAACAAUUUUUGGUGGGUUUUUAGUUUUGGCAAUCAUGGGACGCGUGUAUUAGUUUUUUUUUUCUUUUUUAACUAGCCAUGUAUAUUCAAUUCAUGUGCUACCAUUUUUCACAUAAUACCAUCGGCCAUUCGAAGAUGAAACCAUAGUUACGAACAAAGUAGAAAGGGCGAACAGAAGGGUCAGAUGUAUCUCAGGUAUGAACAUGCUCACUUUAGAAACAUGUAAAAUGUAUUUAUAUUUGUCUCUUACGACGGUAAAAAAGACAAUGCUUAAAAGAAAAACAAAAGAUUGGGUUAGAUGGGCAGAGCCAAAUUGUUUGCGUUAAAGUGAGUAUGUUAUAUUUGCAUUAUUAUACCCGAAGCUAUCAUCUUGUGAUAAUCUGAACUUUAUAUUCAAAGUUAUAUGUCGAUAUGGGUUUAGAUUUAAUUUUAAAUGAAAUUCAAUAGGGCAAAUAGGCUGAAUAAAAAGAUAAGAAAAAUAUAUUGAAAGCUAUGUUCAUCUUUGUUAAAAGGUCUAUGUUUUCAUAAUAAUUAUAAUAUAUUCAUUUUGAAUCAAACUUGCAUGUUUUUUAUGAUAUUAACAAAUGUUAUGGUACUUUCAACUCAUUCCACAAAAUGUAUUGUUAUUAUUCAUCUAAAGUUUUCUUGCUGUUAGAAUAUGCAUAACAAAGCCAAAAACAAUAGUUUGUUUUGAUUUUAGCAAACUUGAAAGUCACAAUCUGGUAUAAGCACUUGCGUCAUCCACUCACGAAAGACAGGUAUGGUGAUUGUCUUCCCUUUUUGAGUUUUAUAAAUUAAGAUGUUUAUAAGUUUUUCAUCUACUUUUUUAUUUGUUUUUAUCUUUUAAUUUGAUGAAUAGAAAUGUUAUAAACCUACUAUUCACCGACUUAUAUGUAUGUAGUGGUUAGAAAUUUUAUAAACCUACUUUAUAGAAAGACCGGAAUUGGUGAAUUUUGUAAUGGGUUAUUGAAUGUUUAUUAUCUGACAGGUAUUGCUGAUGGUAAACCGACAACACAGAUAUCUAUUGUGGUUUACAAGGAGAUAUUUGGUAACUUAUGAUGUAAUUUUCACUUUUAGUUUGAUGUAUUUGAAGGUUUCCUUUAAGUUAUUUUGGUUUGAAAUAAUUUUUUUAUAAAUUGUAUCGACUACUUUAUUGUGUCUUAUAUUGAUUACUUUAUUAUGUUGAAGUUGGUAUUGUAAAUUGUAAAUAUGCCGUUGAACUUACCUUUGAAAGCUUAAAUUAUAUGGAUAUGGAUAACGCGAUCAACUGGAGCUUGGGAUAUAUCUUCUAUUUGGCUAAAAGAAAGCUUAAGAGAAGGUCGAUUUUGUGGAUGAAAUGCCUUACAUUUUAAAAGACGACAAAUAUGAGACAAAGUAAAAGACGGACUUAAAAGAGGGAACUCAAUUUACUAAGGGAAAGGUUUUGGUAACUCGAAGGAUAUGCAUCUUCAAAGGGACUCGACUAUCUUUAAAUUGUGUAUCCACUGUAUCACUAAUUUAUGUAACAUCAGACUUUGUAUUUUAUUUUAUUUGUACACUUGAUAUUUACGUUAAUAGUUUUCUCCAACCCGGGUAGCACCCGGGUGAUAACCUAGUACUA